UAGUUUUAAAAGCCAAAAGUUAUAUUUUGAUUUUGGAUGAUUUAUAGAAAGCUAGGUAGUGUGCUAGUUUCAUAUAUCUGUGGGAGACUCCCAUGGUGGGUUUCCGUUUGCAUAAAUCUUGUCUCUAUUUUUCCUCAGCUUGGUGUUUGUGUUGCCACACCUCCUACGGCACUAUAGUAUAUAAAAUAAACAAUAAAUCCAACAGGGAGAGCGAUAAUGACAGCACUG
Nanorana parkeri is the source of this 228-nucleotide long non-coding RNA. RefSeq lists it as uncharacterized. The record is from RefSeq and is a predicted model, not a curated record. Lineage: Eukaryota; Metazoa; Chordata; Amphibia; Anura; Dicroglossidae. The transcript has 3 exons.